UAAACGUCCCAGUUCGGAUUGUAGUCUGCAACCCGACUACAUGAAGCUGGAAUCGCUAGUAAUCGCGGAUCAGAAUGCCGCGGUGAAUACGUUCCCGGGUCUUGUACACACCGCCCGUCACACCAUGGGAGUCGGAAAUGCCCGAAGUCGGUGACCUAACUGAAAGGAAGGAGCCGCCGAAGGCAGGUCUGGUGACUGGGGUGAAGUCGUAACAAGGUAAC
Molecule: ribosomal RNA, 221 nt
Filed under: uncultured bacterium
Lineage: Bacteria
Description: partial 16S ribosomal RNA
Rfam family: Bacterial small subunit ribosomal RNA
Source: RNAcentral